GGCACUAUGGCGGAGUGGUUAACGCGAGAGAUUCGAAUGGUCUGCAGAACCUGCAAAUCUUACGUAAUCUCUUCCUCUUUGAGGGCGCAGGUUCGAAUCCUGCUGGUGUCG
Schizophyllum amplum is the source of this 111-nucleotide non-coding RNA. NCBI's taxonomy places the organism in Eukaryota, Fungi, Basidiomycota, Agaricomycetes, Agaricales, Schizophyllaceae. The record is from the annotation of a GenBank genome assembly.